This is a long non-coding RNA of Xiphophorus hellerii (green swordtail), 675 nucleotides long. RefSeq lists it as uncharacterized. NCBI's taxonomy places the organism in Eukaryota, Metazoa, Chordata, Actinopteri, Cyprinodontiformes, Poeciliidae. The record is from RefSeq and is a predicted model, not a curated record. The transcript has 4 exons.
UGUUUAAACAAAUCCGGAGGAAAAGUAAGACUCACAUUCAAACUGGAGCAAGAUCAGUUGUGGAUCGGAACAAAAGAGAGAACAGAGAAAGUUCCAAUGGGCUCUAUUAAAAAUGUAGUGUCCGAACCCAUCGAAGGCCAUGAGGACUAUCACAUGAUGGACCCAAAUGAUUCUGACCACAGAAUCCUGCUUUUCAAAAUUCCUGUGAAUCCAUGGAGUACUCCUGUAUCCUCUCAACUACGAAGAAGCAGAGAGUUCCAGCAAAGCCGAGGAUGACCAGAAGCAGGAGCUGCCACGUUAGCAGAAGGUCCUCGUCCACAGCCAUGGAAAUUAAAACACGCCUGAAAAAAAAUCAUAUUGAGGGCCUUUCUUGCCCUCAACAGUUCUCCAUCUUAGCUGGCCAGGAUCUGCCUGAUUGCAGCCUACUCUUCUUGAGUGCCGUCACUGGGCUCGACUAGGUCGAAGAUACAAAAACCUGGACGAAAGAAAUUCCAGUGUAAUUUUUUUGAAGGACAAAUCUGGUUCCAAAUUUCUGCAAUUUGGAACCAGUACCAUUACGUUCAUCUUGACAAACACUUGGAAAAUCCAAGGCUGGCAAUUUGGAGGAAAAUCAUUUUGUGGAUAAAAAAAAAAGUAAAUUCACAACUGUUUCCUCUUUGAUUCGUUAUGUUAUUC